AAACUGAGCGGCGGACGGGUGAGUAACGCGUGGGCAACCUGCCUUACACAGGGGGAUAACAGUUAGAAAUGACUGCUAAUACCGCAUAAGACCACAGGACUGCAUGGUCCGGUGGUAAAAAACUCCGGUGGUGUAAGAUGGGCCCGCGUCUGAUUAGGUAGUUGGCGGGGUAACGGCCCACCAAGCCGACGAUCAGUAGCCGACCUGAGAGGGUGACCGGCCACAUUGGGACUGAGACACGGCCCAGACUCCUACGGAAGGCAGCAG
RNAcentral lists this ribosomal RNA (267 nucleotides) under uncultured bacterium. Its description in RNAcentral is "partial 16S ribosomal RNA". It matches the Rfam family "Bacterial small subunit ribosomal RNA", at positions 88 to 354 of the family's 1533-position model. The record is from RNAcentral.